Molecule: long non-coding RNA, 1552 nt
Organism: Oryzias latipes (Japanese medaka)
Lineage: Eukaryota; Metazoa; Chordata; Actinopteri; Beloniformes; Adrianichthyidae
Source: RefSeq, a predicted model, not a curated record
CUGCAUGAAUACGAAGCAUAUUUUUCAUGUAACGGAGCAAGACUAACGUCCGUUUUACUUUUACUAGAUGGUAAACAGUAGCACAAAGCUGACAUGUGGAUGUGAAGUGCACGAAUGGGAAAGGCUGGCGUGCAGAAAUAUGAAGGUCCAGACACAGCGGUCGUAUAAUCAGUCACCCAAACUCUUGCCCCGGGGGCUAAAAGUCAAAGGAUCGCCGAGACCUGAUGUAACACUUGUGUGAAUCUCCCCUUUGAAACUUCAAACUCCAGUUUGUGAACAAAGUCUAUCUUCUGAAUAGGAAUCUCCGACCACUGAGCAAACUCCAUUUGUAACCGCUGCCUAUUUGUACCUUCUCCUCAAUGACUACAUUUCAUUUCCCCAAGUCCGGUCCGAAAGGCAAGCAGCAGAGAAGCCCAGUAAAAGUCAAAAUGCGAGGCGGCGAUCAUGGCGGCCCAGAGGAGUUGAGAAAGAUGUGGAAUAUAAGCUGUUGGGAGGACUUCUGACAUUCCGUGUCUUUCUGCAGCACGGUGGAGAUGUGUCUGUGAGGCACAUCCAGGAGCUUGUUGACGUUGAUAAGAGUAAAGCAGAAGGAGACCAUGUGCUGCCUGCAGAACAAAACAGGGCUGCUGCAGUAGAUGGAGGAGAUAGAGAGUCAAUUUAUGGUUUCCACUCAGACAUUUUCAUUUUCUGAUGCAUCAAACUUUGGGAGAGCAUUCUCACUACGGUUCACCACAUGGGAGGAGGGUUAACACAGGCAGCACAGAGGCAACAGAGGCUGUUCUGGAGCAGAAAGGAUGUCACUGUAACCUCUGUUACCCGAUAUCAAUCAUGUCCCGACAGCCAAUGGGAAAGGCCCACCCCCAUGUGAAAUUGGAAUAUAUGGCUAAAACAAAAACUCUGUAUUGAAACAGUAAACUGAGCACUGAAAGCAAGGAAGAGGAGAAAGGAAAAACAAAGUAUUACAGCAGGCGUAAAAACUUUCUUUUUGAUUUGGUAAAACUUUCAGGGCUUUUUUUUGUUUUUUUUUUAGUAGUUUUAUUCACAUUUUCAGUUUUUUCUUGAAAUUAUUUUUCAAAUGUUUCAAAUGCUAUUUUUCCGUCAUAUUUUCAAUAUUUUUUUCAAGUUUACAAUGUGUGCUUUCGAGUUUAAAACAGUUUUCAAAUUUUUGAUUUGUUUUUUCAGAGUUUUAAUGUGAAUCUUUCUAAUUUAUAAUCUGUUUUUUGUCCACUUUAAGCAGAUCCUGAUUUGACCCCAUACAUUUGCCUCCAAACAAGAGAGAAUGAAAACUGUGUUAUUUUACCUAAAGGUUAUGUGAUCUGCUUUUGUAAUAACUUAGCAACGUUUCCUGAUGUGUUUGUAUGGUGGAUGAAGAGUUUGGAAGUCACGGCAUACAUGGUUAUGAAAUGUUACUGAUUAUGUGUGAACUCAACUGUCAAUCUUUAAAUGUUGCUGCUGUAAACCUUUAUGUUCAAGUUUUUAAUUUGAAAAUGUUUAUUUAAGGUUCCUAACAGUAGAUUAGGAAGCACUACAUUAAUAAACUAUGCCCACUUGA